Molecule: long non-coding RNA, 717 nt
Filed under: Marmota monax (woodchuck)
Lineage: Eukaryota; Metazoa; Chordata; Mammalia; Rodentia; Sciuridae
Source: RNAcentral
AGGAAUUCCUCUAUUAACCCAGAAGUAAUACCGAGAAAGCUAGUUUACAAAAAUAAGAUAGCAUUAGAUAUCUUAACUACAGCUCAAGGGGAUACCUGUGACAUUAUAAAAACAAAAUGUUGUGUACACACUUCUAACAACUCUGCUGAUGUUUCUAAAGCCUCAAAUGGCUUCCAUUCACAAACCAAUACCACAUUGGAUUUGCCUUAAGCUUUAAUGAGUUGCUGUCUUCAUGUUUUUCAGAAACUGACCGAUAAUACUAAUUGCUUUUGUGCUAAUUGUUUGCAAGGAAACAAUGCUUUGCUGUCUUGUUUGUUGUUGUCCUACCCAUGAUCUCUGCUUUAUGUCCACCUCACUCAGUUGCCCACCAGCUGCCUCUAUGGACCUCUGUACUCCCCUGAUGCUGAAUCCUUAACUUCCCAUGUUUACCUGGUAGAAAAUCAUAAAAAAAACCUAGGCUAUCAAACUCCAACUGGUACUAUGGCAAGGCUACAAACUGAUCCCACAAAUUGACCCCAACACUCCGCUUUUUGAUCUUUACCAGACAGGGCAAAAGUUCUGUGAAUCCCAAAUAGGCAAGGACAAUAGUCCAUUGUCAGCCUGAAGCAGCUAUAAGAAGAUGAGAUCUCCAGCCCCUCAACCUCCCAAAAAGAAUUUGGGGAUCAUGUCUCUCAGGGGGAAAUGUUAGGUAGGAGUUCAGGGACCACCAAGAUGGCA